Molecule: long non-coding RNA, 1384 nt
Organism: Bombyx mori (domestic silkworm)
Lineage: Eukaryota; Metazoa; Arthropoda; Insecta; Lepidoptera; Bombycidae
Exons: 3
Source: RefSeq, a predicted model, not a curated record
CGCUCAGUUUUAGGUUCGUAGCGUGCGUGCAGUGAAUAUUGGAUUAUUAAAAUAUUAUUUUUUGUAUUUCAGCAUUAUCUUCGUUUCUGAAAAUCGAAUGUAUGAACAGUAGUCGAGCGCCGGCCGGAACUGCAGAUGGCCGCCGCAUCACAUCCGGCGGCACAGUACGAUUGACAUCCUUCGAUGAGGCUUUUGGCAUCGAAGCGUUGACCAGGCGUCUUGCUUAUCAGACCACAGAAACCUAUUCCAAUGAGAACCCAUCCCAUCAAUGAAAACAGGUGGAAUAACCAAGUUAGAACAAAACUACAAAGCAGAUGCAGGCACCUAAAUUAAUUCUAAAGGUCAAUACAUACUUCACUUUACAAAUACAGCUAGCUAAUGUAAUUAGGUAAAGGUUUGUACACAUUCUUAAAGUACUAUAUAGUGUUUUCAAAUUUAUGCUUCAGACUUAGAUAAUUAAGGUUUGAUAUACUUUAAAAAUUUAUGUUUUGCUUCUAUCGUCCCAUUUGCUAGAGUGCAAGGGCAAACAAAACAAUUACACUUACUUCUGUUUUAGCCAUAGGAAAACAGUAUCUAGCAGGAUUUUAUUUUACAUUUUUCUGACCAGGCAUUUUAAUCUACUACCAAAUAAUUUAUAAACUAUGCAUAAUAUUUAACUCUGAGUAAAUAUUAAAAGUGUCUUUGAAAAUGUUGUGACAUUAAAUAGCAUUUUGGCACCAUACUCAACUACAAUUGAAACACAUGAAGUGUCUAGAAAUAAAUUUGUAUUGCUAUGUAGGAUAAUUUUACAAAAAAAUGAUAAUAGCUUAAUAGAACAUUUCGUUAACAUUAACCGUAUUCUGUUACCAAUGCUUUUUACAAUUUGAAAACCAUUAGUUAUGCCUAUUUGGUUCGAAAGUAAUGUUUCGAGAAUGUAAAAUAAACUCGGAAACGUAUCGUUCUUAAGUAAUGUUUCAUUUGUAAAUUGAUAUAAAAACGUUGAUAUAAAAAUUUAUAAUUGUUAUUUGAGUUAUUUUAAUUUUUAUUUAAAUUCCACAUUGUAGGAUUUUUUUAAUCUAAUCCAAAAAGAACUUAUAUAAGGGAUUCUUCAGUUGAAUUAUUACUUUUCCAAUAAUUCAUUUAAUUAUUUUUUUAACGCUAUGAACUAUUUUUCUUUUCAUAAAGUUUUACAAAUGUGCAAUUUUUUAUAUAAGAAUAAUUUUUAUUUUAUUUCAUUAAUUCUCAAUACAUUAUUGUUUCUCUUUUCGACUUGUCGUUUCGCUCGUUUUUACUACGUAGCCAUUAUCAGUAAUAUCGGAAAAUUAUGAAAUUUGUUUGGGUAGAAAUCUAUGUGUAGCUUAAAGAUUAGCAUAACUAAAAAAUAAAAAAUGUGCUUCGUAAACAA